GUAGGUGAACCUGCGGAAGGAUCAUUCAUAAUAAGUGUUUUAUGGCACUUUUUAAAUCCAUAUCCACCUUGUGUGCAAUGUCGGCCGAUCUUUCUUUUUUGGAAGAUCAGCCAAACAUCAACUUAUUUUUUUAACUCUUUGUCUGAAAAAUAUUAUGAAUAAACAAUUCAAAAUACAACUUUCAACAACGGAUCUCUUGGCUCUC
RNAcentral lists this unclassified non-coding RNA (205 nucleotides) under rhizosphere metagenome. Its description in RNAcentral is "partial ribosomal RNA internal transcribed spacer region". The record is from RNAcentral.